Long non-coding RNA from Ostrea edulis (European flat oyster), 606 nucleotides. RefSeq lists it as uncharacterized. The record is from RefSeq and is a predicted model, not a curated record. The transcript is spliced from 3 exons. Lineage: Eukaryota; Metazoa; Mollusca; Bivalvia; Ostreida; Ostreidae.
ACACUCGAACACUAGAGAGACUCUCUUGUAGUAACAUUUUUCAGCCAUAUUUGUUUCUUCACGGUAUUGGUUUAUUUUGAUUCCCAAUGGAGGACUGAGCAUUGAAACUUCAUAUCUUAGAAAGAAGCACACAGCAACUUGUGUUCGACAUUAUUGGCAUGUAUUUGAAUGGCAGUUUUGGUUUGCACUAAUGGGCUUCCGUAGUUACCAGCUAGAGUCAAAAUGCUUGGGCUGACCGAAGAGAAAAACCAGAAGAUGCUCAAUGAUUUUGCAAGAGCUGAUACAGAAAGAAAAAAACCCAGAUUCGCUGGAAAUGAGCACGUUGCAACGAGAGACGGAUCUGAACCAUUAACCAUUGGAAUGUUGCUUUAUUUGAGACGGAUCUGAACCAUUAACCAUUGGAAUGUUGCUUUAUUUGAGACGGAUCUGAACCAUUAACCAUUGGAAUGUUGCUUUAUUUGAGACGGAUCUGAACCAUUAACCAUUGGAAUGUUGCUUUAUUUGGUAGAUAUCAAACUGUCUUUGCAUAUAUAGUUUCACGUCAUGAUACUUUGAUGCAUUGUUAAUUUGAAAGUAAUUUCUGAAUAAAAAAUAUUUAGCAAUUUA